RNAcentral lists this ribosomal RNA (669 nucleotides) under uncultured bacterium. RNAcentral describes it as "bacterial SSU rRNA". It matches the Rfam family "Bacterial small subunit ribosomal RNA", at positions 14 to 677 of the family's 1533-position model. The record is from RNAcentral.
UGAUCCUGGCUCAGGAUGAACGCUAGCGGCAGGCUUAACACAUGCAAGUCGAGGGGCAGCGAGAGUAGCAAUACUUGUCGGCGACCGGCGCACGGGUGAGUAACGCGUAUGCAACCUACCCUUUAUCGGGGGAUAGCCCGAAGAAAUUCGGAUUAAUACCCCAUGGUAUUCAAUUGAGACAUCUCAGAAGAAUUAAAACUCCGGUGAUAAAGGAUGGGCAUGCGUGACAUUAGUUAGUUGGUGAGGUAACGGCUCACCAAGACGAUGAUGUCUACGGGGUCUAAAAGGAUGGUCCCGCACACUGGUACUGAGACACGGACCAGACUCCUACGGGAGGCAGCAGUGAGGAAUAUUGGUCAAUGGGGGCAACCCUGAACCAGCCAUGCCGCGUGAAGGAUGAAGGCUCUAUGAGUUGUAAACUUCUUUUGUACGGGGAGAAAACGCAUUACGUGUAGUGCACUGACUGUACCGUAUGAAUAAGCAUCGGCUAACUCCGUGCCAGCAGCCGCGGUAAUACGGAGGAUGCAAGCGUUAUCCGGAUUUAUUAGGUUUAAAGGGUGCGUAGGCUGACUGAUAAGUCAGUGGUGAAAUGCCGCAGCUUAACUGCGGAACUGCCAUUGAUACUGUUGGUCUUGUAUGUGGUUGAGGCAUGCGGAAAUGUGUAGUGUA